This 255-nucleotide ribosomal RNA is filed under the name uncultured bacterium. Its description in RNAcentral is "partial 16S ribosomal RNA". It matches the Rfam family "Bacterial small subunit ribosomal RNA", at positions 524 to 776 of the family's 1533-position model. The record is from RNAcentral.
UACAGAGGGUGCAAGCGUUUGUUCGGAAUUAUUGGGCGUAAAGCGCGUGUAGGCGGCAUGGCAAGUCGGGGUGUGAAAGCCCUCAGCUUAACUGAGGAAGUGCGCCCGAAACUGCCGUGCUUGAGUGCCGGAGAGGGUGGCGGAAUUCCCCAAGUAGAGGUGAAAUUCGUAGAUAUGGGGAGGAACACCGGUGGCGAAGGCGGCCACCUGGACGGUAACUGACGCUGAGACGCGAAAGCGUGGGGAGCAAACAGG